Biomphalaria pfeifferi is the source of this 1412-nucleotide non-coding RNA. NCBI's taxonomy places the organism in Eukaryota, Metazoa, Mollusca, Gastropoda, Planorbidae. The record is from the annotation of a GenBank genome assembly.
UCUGACAAGUUGAAACAACAAGUGUUAGUACAGAUUUUUCAUGGUACAAAAUCAUUUCAUUCUCUCCACAAAAACAUUUUUGUAAUGGCCUUGAAUCACUGAUAGGAAAUGAUCAUGUCAACAAACACACAAUUUCAUUGGUGCCCAAACACUUUGACCUGAGGGCCAAAUAAUUUCCCUUAUCUGUCUGUCAAAGGCUGUACCAAACAAAAUUUGUCAGGUUCUGAGCUUCUGCCACUUCAUUAUGCACUCUGGGCAGAAGGUUUAACAGGCUGGACAGUGCCACAGGCUGGGCAUCAUUGUUCUAACACUCAAUGAAAACAAAACUCAGUAGCUUGUAUUUAAAAAAACAAAACAAAUAAUGCUUUACUGUGUAGAUCUUUGUUACUAACAAGGCAACAAGCAAUCAAACCAAACAAGAAAGAAAGAAUCAAUGGUGUCACACGAGGGUUGGCUGACACCAAUCCUAGUGAUGCCACUGAAGAUAUAUAAUAUAAUAACAUACCUUGAUUUACUUCAGAAAGUUACAUUUGUUUCACUCUGUGACUGGCCAUGUGUUCACAAAGACAAGAUUAACCUCUGUAAAGACUGGCACACAUUUCAGUUUACAAGCAUUGACUUUAUGGUCUCAAUGUUUUGCAGAUUCCAUUUCAUCACCAGAGAUAAGACUCUAAUUACAUACUUUUGUUAUCUUGGUUCAACUGAAAAUCAGGGGAGAUAAGUUUCACCCACAUGUUAAAUGCUUUUAUUGUGUCCGAACAAGGAGUCCACAAAAAGAUACCCUGUUGAGCUGUUGUAGCCCCAAAGUUGGUCCAGAUAGAAAUCCCUUUUUUUUGAUGCAUUCUUUAAACAAUGUGAAAACAAACAGCAAAAAACAAAACAAACUCUAAUGUCCUAGAUAACUUAUUGUCCAGAACCAAGCAAUGAACUAAAAUAAAAAGAGACUAGACAACAAAGAGCUAACUCCUGUAUAAUACAAUUAGAAUCCGUUAAAAGAAAGAAAACUUAUUCUGAAAAGUAAAGUGUCCUAUCUAGUGUUCAGACUCUUCUCCAGACAUUCAACAAUCAAAUAACAACUGAGCCUAGAGGUGAUGUACAUUUGUGAACAAUUAAAUUGCUUUAAUUUCUAGAAUAAAUUACAGCAUACACAAAAUUUGCAUAAAUUUAAAUAUACCUUAAUUAAGAGCAAAAGAAAAAUAAAAAAAUCAAUUAACAUAUUACAAAAAUAAUAAUAAAAUCUGUAAACACAAAAAAAGUUUUAAAAAUAAAAAAAAAAUAUUUGGCUUCAGUUCUAAACCUUUGUUCCAACCAGGCAAUAAGUUAGGAAAUAGCCGCUAUAUAAUAUUAGCACAACCAAAACUUGGUACUAGAGAUAGCCGCUAUAUAAUAUUAGCACAACUCAAACUUUGUAC